UACGGAGGAUGCGAGCGUUAUCCGGAUUUAUUGGGUUUAAAGGGUGUGUAGGCGGGCUUUUAAGUCAGCGGUAAAAAUUCGGGGCUCAACCCCGUCCGGCCGUUGAAACUGGGGGUCUUGAGUGGGCGAGAAGAAGGCGGAAUGCGUGGUGUAGCGGUGAAAUGCAUAGAUAUCACGCAGAACCCCGAUUGCGAAGGCAGCCUUCCGGCGCCCUACUGACGCUGAGGCACGAAAGUGCGGGGAUCGAACAGG
Molecule: ribosomal RNA, 252 nt
Filed under: uncultured bacterium
Lineage: Bacteria
Description: partial 16S ribosomal RNA
Rfam family: Bacterial small subunit ribosomal RNA
Source: RNAcentral